AGAGUUUGAUCCUGGCUCAGGAUGAACGUUGGCGGCAUGCUUAACACAUGCAAGUCGAACGCAGGCUUCGGCCUGAGUGGCGAACGGGUGCGUAACACGUAGGUGACCUGGCCUGGAGUGGGGGAUAACCCUCGGAAACGGGGGCUAAUACCGCAUGGUCUGGAGGCAUUUUGAAAGCCUUCAGUAAAGCUCGAUGUGCUCUAGGGGGGGCCUGCGGCCUAUCAGGUAGUUGGUGGGGUAAAAGCCUACCAAGCCGAUGACGGGUAGCUGACCUGAGAGGGUGGUCAGCCACAGGGGAACUGAGACACGGUCCCCACUCCUACGGGAGGCAGCAGUGAGGAAUAUUGGGCAAUGGGGGCAACCCUGACCCAGCAAUGCCGCGUGCGGGAGGACGCCCUUCGGGGUGUAAACCGCUUUUGUGAGGGAGGAGCAAGGACCGUACCUCACGAAGAAGUCACGGCUAACUACGUGCCAGCAGCCGCGGUAAUACGUAGGUGGCGAACGUUAUCCGGAGUUACUGGGCGUAAAGGGUCCGCAGGCGGGCUUGCAAGUCUGACGUGAAAUCUUCGGGCUUAACUCGAAGAGGUCGUUGGAAACUGCGAGUCUAGCAUCCCGCAGAGGUCGGUGGAAUUCCCGGUGUAGUGGUGGAAUGCGUAGAGAUCGGGAGGAACCUCGAAAGCGAAGGCAGCCGGCUGGGCGCGGAUGGACGCUGAGGGACGAAAGCGUGGGGAGCGAACAGGAUUAGAUACCCUCGUAGUCC
Molecule: ribosomal RNA, 760 nt
Filed under: uncultured Chloroflexota bacterium
Lineage: Bacteria; Bacillati; Chloroflexota
Description: bacterial SSU rRNA
Rfam family: Bacterial small subunit ribosomal RNA
Source: RNAcentral